Molecule: ribosomal RNA, 559 nt
Filed under: uncultured bacterium
Lineage: Bacteria
Description: bacterial SSU rRNA
Rfam family: Bacterial small subunit ribosomal RNA
Source: RNAcentral
CUCGAGGCCAGAUCUAGAGUUUGAUCCUGGCUGAGAUUGAACGCUGGCGGCAUGCCUUACACAUGCAAGUCGAACGGCAGCAUAGGAGCUUGCUCCUGAUGGCGAGUGGCGAACGGGUGAGUAAUAUAUCGGAACGUGCCCUAGAGUGGGGGAUAACUAGUCGGAAGACUAGCUAAUACCGCAUACGAUCUACGGAUGAAAGUGGGGGAUCGCAAGACCUCAUGCUCCUGGAGCGGCCGAUAUCUGAUUAGCUAGUUGGUGGGGUAAAAGCCUACCAAGGCGACGAUCAGUAGCUGGUCUGAGAGGACGACCAGCCACACUGGGACUGAGACACGGCCCAGACUCCUACGGGAGGCAGCAGUGGGGAAUUUUGGACAAUGGGGGCAACCCUGAUCCAGCAAUGCCGCGUGAGUGAAGAAGGCCUUCGGGUUGUAAAGCUCUUUUGUCAGGGAAGAAACGGUAGUAGCUAAUAUCUAUUACUAAUGACGGUACCUGAAGAAUAAGCACCGGCUAACUACGUGCCAGCAGCCGCGGUAAUACGUAGGGUGCAAGCGUUAAU